This 234-nucleotide unclassified non-coding RNA is filed under the name plant metagenome. Its description in RNAcentral is "partial contains small subunit ribosomal RNA, internal transcribed spacer 1, and 5.8S ribosomal RNA". The stretch from base 1 to 54 matches the Rfam family "Eukaryotic small subunit ribosomal RNA", at positions 1778 to 1831 of the family's 1831-position model. The record is from RNAcentral.
GGAAGUAAAAGUCGUAACAAAGUUUCCGUAGGUGAACCUGCGGAAGGAUCAUUCAUAAUAAGUGUUUAUGGCACUUUUUUAAAUCCAUAUCCACCUUGUGUGCAAUGUCAGGGUUGAUUUUUCUCUCGAGAGGAUCAACCCCAAACAUCAACUAUAUCUCAACUCUUUGUCUGAAAAAUAUUAUGAAUAAAACAAUUCAAAAUACAACUUUCAACAACGGAUCUCUUGGCUCUC